RNAcentral lists this ribosomal RNA (114 nucleotides) under Nannospalax galili (Upper Galilee mountains blind mole rat). The record is from RNAcentral. Lineage: Eukaryota; Metazoa; Chordata; Mammalia; Rodentia; Spalacidae.
AUCUACGGCCAUACCACCCUGAACAUACCUGAUCUCAUCUGAUCUCAGAAGCUAAGCAGGGUUGGGUCUGAUUAGUACUUGGAUGGGAGAAAAACAACUUAGCAACUUUACUUU